GACGACGCCUCAAGGAUCGUUCAUAAUUUGUAGUUACAAACUAGUCAUUUUCAAUAAUGAGUUAUUGUAACAACUCACAACCCUUAAUUAAUCCAAUGUCACCUGGGAAAUCAAAAACAAUCGUCGUAUCGGUAUAACAAUAAACAAGUCAUGUAAUUUACACAUUGGGAAAACAUCGGGUUUUCCCGGGGAGUUCAACACUUUUACCUACGUGAUGUAUACAAAGUUCAACAAUUAUACAUGUUUUCAAAAUCGACAAGCAUACUUACGGAUCUUCACACUUUUUAUAAACAAUACUCUUUUCAGAAAAUAUCGGAUUUUCUGGGUGUUCAAACUUCACAAAAAUCAUUUUCCAUAACAUUACUUAUGAACUCACCAACAUUUUAUAUGUUGACCGUUUUCAAAAUAACUUGUAUUCUCAGGUAACAGGUAAACAGAAGAAUAUGUAUCAAGUUAUAUCAUGGUGUUUUGCUUAGAUUAAUGAUCAAACGGUUUAUGUUAUGAAAUUGUAACGUUAAAACAAUGUACUGAAUGUAAACAAUAUCGGUUGUAAUAUUUCAAUGCAUGGUGAUGAAUGAUGUUAUGAUUCGUGUAUAAUCAUUGUGAUGGUAUUCAAUUUAAGUCACAAGAGCCCUUGGACGUUUCCGCCGUCUGGUUCGGGGGUGUGACAGGUUGGUAUUAGAGCUCUGUUUAUAGUGAACUAGCAUAUCAAAUAAAUCCCUUAAGACAAAAUACGAGAUCCACGACUACCGGCAAAACGUAAUAACAAAUACACUUUCAACAACCAAUAUCGUUACCAAACGAAUUGAUUCGGUCUCGAAUCAAUAACAAAACAAAAAUCAAAUAACCGUAGUACUUCAAUAAAUACGCGACAACUACGAGGAGUCAAUAUUCAAUCUUUGGGAUUGAAAGUUUCAAAUCAUGCUUGUUGGGCCUUGCUAGCCCAAUAACAUGCUCUUUGGGCCCGAAGGGGACACGCUUACAUGUUAAUGGGCGUUCUAUGACCUAAUUUCAUGUAAAAGGACUUUCAAUAGCUCUAUUGUGUUGUUGGGCCCCAAGGGUCCAUUAGUACUGCUAGCGAAGUCGAGAAAUCAAAUGCGAGUCGGGCCAAGUGCCUUUCGCAUUCCCGAUAGCCUUGAAUGACUUAUGGAAAUAAAGGAGGCAUCUUACCCUCCUUUCUCCUCGAUUGUGGGGCUAUGAGAAACCGAGUAAGCAGAUUCAUGACAUUAAACAAGAGAAGUCAGGGUGGUUGGAUUAUGUGAGUAGUAUGGACGACGCCUCAUAGAUCGUUCAUAAUUUGUAGUUACAAACUAUUCAUUUUCAAUAAUGCGUGAUUGUAACAACUCACAACCCUUAAUUAAUCCAAUGUCACCUGGGAAAUAAAAAACAAUCGUCGUAUCGGAAUAACAAUAAACAAGUCAUGUAAUUUCCACAUUGGGAAAACAUCGGGUUUUCCCGGGGAGUUCAACACUUUUACCUACGUGAUGUAUACAAAGUUCAACAAUUAUACAUUUUUUCAAUAUCUCUAUUGUGCUGUUGGGCCCCAAGGGUCCAUUAGUACUGCUAGCAAAGUCAAGAAGUCAAAUGCGAGUCGGCCCAAGUGCCUUUCGCAUUCCCGAUAGCCUUGAAUGACUUAUGGAAAUAAAGGAGGCUUCUUACCCUCCUUUCUCCUCGGUUUUGGGGCGAUGAGAAACCGAGUAAGUAGAUUCGUGACGUUAAACAAGAGAAGUCAGGGUGGUUGGAUUAUGUGAGUAGUAUGGACGACGCCUCAAGGAUCGUUCAUAAUUUGUAGUUACAAACUAUUCAUUUUCAAUAAUGCGUGAUUGUAACAACUCACAACCCUUAAUUAAUCCAAUGUCACCUGGGAAAUCAAAAACAAUCGUCGUAUCGGUAUAACAAUAAAGAAAUCAUGUAAUUUACGCAUUGGGAAAACAUCGGGUUUUCCCGGGGACUUCAACACUUUUACCUACGUGAUGUAAACAAAGUUCAACAAUUAUACAUGUUUUCAAAAUCGACAGGCAUACUUACGGAUCUUCACACUUUCUAUAAACAAUACUCUUUUCAGAAAAUAUCGGAUUUUCUGGGUUUUCAAACUUCACAAAAAUCAUUUUCCAUAACAUUACUUAUGAACUCACCAACAUUUCAUAUGUUGACCGUUUUCAAAAUAACUUGUAUUCUCAGGUAACGGGUAAACAGAAGAAUAUGUAUCAAGUUAUAUCAUGGUGUUUUGCUUAGAUUAAUGAUCAAACGGUUUAUGUUAUGAAAUUGUAUUGUUAAAACAAUGUACUGAUUAUAAACAAUAUCGGUUGUACUAUUUCAAUGCAUGGUGAUGAAUGAUGUUAUGAUUCAUGUAUAGUCAUUGUGAUGGUAUUCAAUUUAAGUCACAAGAGCCCUCCGACGUUUCUGCCGUUAGGUUCGGGGGUGUGACAGGUUGGUAUCAGAGCUUUGUUUAUAGUGAACUAGCAUAUCAAAUAAAUCCCUUAAGACAAAAUAUGAGAUCCACGACUACCGGCAAAACGUAAUAACAAAUACACUUUCAACAACCAAUGUCGUUACCAAACGAAUUGAUUCGGUCUCGAAUCAAUAACUAAACAAAAAUCAAAUAACUGUAGUACUUCAAUAAACACGCGACAACUACGAGGAGUCAAUAUUCAAUCUUUGGGAUUGAAAGUUCCAAAUCGUGCUUGUUGGGCCUUGCUAGCCCAAUAACAUGAUCUUUGGGCCCGAAGGGGAUGCGCUUACAUGUUAAUGGGCGUUUUAUGACCUAUUUUCAUGUAAAAGGACUUUCAAUAGCUCUAUGGGUUAUUGGACCCCAAGGGUCCAUUAGUAAUGCUAGCGAAGUCGAGAAGUCAAAUGCGAGUCGGCCCAAGUGCCUUUCGCAUUCCCGAUAGCCUUGAAUGACUUAUGGAAAUAAAGGAGGCUUCUUACCCUCCUUUCUCCUCGGUUGUGGGGCUAUGAGAAACCGAGUAAGCAGAUUCGUGACGUUAAACAAGAGAAGUCAGGGUGGUUGGAUUAUGUGAGUAGUAUGGACGACGCCUCAAGGAUCGUUCAUAAUUUGUAGUUACAAACUAGUCAUUUUCAAUAAUGCGUGAUUGUAACAACUCACAACCCUUAAUUAAUCCAAUGUCACCUGGGAAAUCAAAAACAAUCGUCGUAUCGGUAUAACAAUAAACUAGUCAUGUAAUUUACGUAUUGGGAAACCAUCGGGUUUUCCCGGGGAGUUCAACACUUUUACCUACGUGAUGUAAACAAAGUUCAACAAUUAUAAAUGUUUUCAAAAUCGACAAGCAUACUUACGGAUCUUCACACUUUUUAUAAACAAUACUCUUUUCAGAAAAUAUCGGAUUUUCUGGGUUUUCAAACUUCACAAAAAUCAUUUUCCAUAACAUUACUUAUGAACUCACCAACAUUUUAUAUGUUGACCGUUUUCAAAAUAACUUGUAUUCUCAGGUAACAGGUAAACAGAAGAAUAUGUAUCAAGUUAUAUCAUGGUGUUUUGUUUAGAUUAAUGAUCAAACGGUUUAUGUUAUGAAAUUGUAAUGUUAAAAC
This 3549-nucleotide long non-coding RNA is filed under the name Lactuca sativa (garden lettuce). Its description in RNAcentral is "long non-coding RNA (LSAT_LNC009551)". The record is from RNAcentral. Lineage: Eukaryota; Viridiplantae; Streptophyta; Magnoliopsida; Asterales; Asteraceae.